This 2885-nucleotide long non-coding RNA is filed under the name Rattus norvegicus (Norway rat). Its description in RNAcentral is "pregnancy induced noncoding RNA like (Pincl)". Lineage: Eukaryota; Metazoa; Chordata; Mammalia; Rodentia; Muridae. The record is from RNAcentral.
GUUUGUCUUUGAGCUUCACUCCCAGGCUCAGGUCUCCAGUUUCUUGUUUAAUGUCAUAAUUAGAAGAAAGUCUUGAGAAGAUUUUUGUCCUGACUGAACAGAUUUUUGACCAGCCAACUAGCAAGCCAUGCAUUGUCCUCAUCCUUACACUCCCUGCAAUAUGGCUCCUUGUGUGGGACAAGGCUGUGACCUGGAUAGCUUCCAAACUGGCUGGAAGAAAGUGUGUGACUUCAAUGUGAGUAUAUUUUGCACAUGAAGAACCACAGAUUCUUCACCUGAGAUUCACAUCUAACAAGUGGGGUCUUCUUUCCUCCAGUAGAGCAGGUCACCAUCACUUUGCAGAUUGCUUGAAUGCUUGGAAGAUCACCUGAGUGCCUGCACCAAUCCUGUGUCCAUCUUAUGUUGAAGGGAGCAUCGAGGCUCUUUCCAUGGUUAAGAUGAUUGAGCAAAAAGGAUCCAUUCACAGCUCCGGCAACAUCUCUGGAAUAACUGUGUGAAGGAACUCUGCCAAGAGCUGGAAUUGCAGUUAACAUAGAAGCUUGAGGCAUAGAUAGCUGUAUCAUCUGGUUAAUAACUGCCAUUUGAAGGAGUCUGCAACACAGUGUGACCAAUUGCCUCAGUGUGUCCAGGUCUAUCCUAGUUUCCUGAGGCACAUACUUCCCAUCUUACAAGUGGAAAUAGAGCAAAAACCAUAUACACAGGCUCUUGGGAUUUGAAUGUGAAAUGAUGCUCAAAUGUUGGACUACUUAUCCUCACUUUGGGGAGCAGCUUGGAGCACAGAUAUCUGUACCAUCUGCUUAGAAACUUCCAUUUGAAGAAGUUUGCAAUAUGGUGUGAUCAAGUUGCUUCGGAGGUAUGACGGGGAACGUGCUCUAUGAAACAGAACCCUAGAAACACUUACUGAAUUUGAACUUUGUGUUGCUUUCUGAUAUCCGUGCUUGGGAUUCUGAAUGACUCCAGUUGGAUUUGAUUGGACCCAGGGUAGCGAGAGAAAUGAGGGGACAAGGCAUACACAUAGUGCAUAAGCAGGUCAGCCAACCUCAUAAACAGGCACCUCACUAGAAACAUCUGCACAGCCUUUUAGUGAAGAGUUGGGUAUCUAGAGCUAUCAUGAUUGAGUGGGAAGGAGAUCACUGCCUCCCUCAGGAGGCCUUCCUGAGAUUUGUGAGAUGGCAAGAAUGAGAUUGGGAAGUGGGGAGACAGAAGGCCUCGUCCUGUCCUGAGCAUCGAGUCCCUGCUGGCUCUCAGAGUCUGCUCACUCUUGCAAGGUCACACACUUUUAUUUAUGUUACAGUCAGGCUGAAAGAGACAUGGAGCACUCUGGGGGUAUUAACCAGGAAGAAAUACAAUUCAGAUUUAAGCAGAGGAAAGAGAAGCCUCAGCCAGCUGCAUGGGAACAGGAAGGACAUUACAUGCUACUUUAGCUGGUCUCUUUCCUGCUGGGGCAAGUCAAUGCGUAAAUGAUAAAAUUUAUAGUGCAUGGAGGGUUGAGAGCCAGACUCGCAUCAUUUGAGUCUGAAUUCCGGUCCUGAAUAGAGUGCUUAUUGUCUCCCUUGGUCCCCCUCUUCCAAUGGAACCAGUCUCUGCCGGGUAGCAUCACAGAGUCUUCUCACAGAGUUGGAGGUAUUAGCAAAGCAGGGCUUGGUUUGGAGAGUGAGACAUUGACACUGAUCUUUAGUUAAAAUGGUCUCUUCUCAGGAAGACUCAUGACAUCAUACAUUUCUAGAACAGGACAGAUCUUCAAAAACAUGAACUGCAAGUUUCCUAUCCAUAGUGGAAGGUGGAAACGGAAGGAAGAAGGCAUGGUCCGGUCUUUCAGGAAGACUCUGCAGGAAGGAUACCACGGACAAGGGCUGAAAAUCUAAAUCCAACUCUGAAAACAUCACGUGACAGACACUGCCUUACCAUGUACACACCCAGAUGAUCCAACUUUCAUGUCAAUGACAGUGUUCAUCUGAAAAAGACCCAGCUUGACCCCUUACCUAAGUCACCUGAGAGAUGGGAGCCAAAUCCACUUCCUGUUCAGGUGUCAUAGAAAGGAGAGCCCAUUCUGUCCCUAGACUCAGUGCUGCCAAGACCCUGAGGGCUUGAGAAAAAGAAUUCUAAUGAAGUUUUUGUUUUGCUUUGUUUUGUUUUUCAAACAAUAGUGACUUUGUUGGCACAAUCAAGAAGCCCUCAAAGCAUGUGAGUGUGAGGGAUGGUGGUGAGUAAUGUGGUUUUAAAAUGAAGUCUUGAGUAUUGGCCCUUGCUUUUGAAGCACUUCUCUAUCAACUGCCUCAGAGGAUAAAAUGAAAUAGUUGGGCAAAGUGUUCAGUACUGUCUUUCUACUAUUUGUUUAAAAUGCAUUGAUGCUAUCUCAUCACUUCUGUUUCUAGAAUAAAUCAAAGCCAGCAUUUUGAUAGCUUUUUAAAGAUGUGUACGCAUGUGCAUAUACGUGUGUGUGUGUGUGUGUGUGUGUGUGUGUGUGUGUUAAGUGUGCAUGUGAAGGGGACAGAGGUCAUUGUUGAAUUCCUCUAUUGCUUUCUGCCUUGUUGUCAAAAGCAAGGUCUCUCACUAAGCCUGCAGCUUACUCUCAGGACAAGAGCAGUGGGCCAUCGGGAUCUAGAAACACUUCUGUCUUUGCCUCCCCAGUGUUAGGGGACAAGCAUGUACCAUUUCACCCAGCCUUUUAUAUUUGCCGAGGAUCUCACCAUUGGUCUUCAUGUUUGUGUGGCAAUCGCUUUAAUGAGAUGGCUCCAGGGAAAGGCACUGUAUCUCCUGCCAAGCCUGGCAACUUAAGUUUAAUCUCUGAGACCUACAGUAUGGAGAGUUGUAAGUUGAGCUCUGUCUUCUACAUAUGCACCAGGAUGCCUGUGUGUCCCCAAAUAAAAUAAAUAGAUGUUUUA